ACUCCUACGGGAGGCAGCAGUGGGGAAUAUUGGACAAUGGGCGCAAGCCUGAUCCAGCCAUGCCGCGUGUGUGAAGAAGGCCCUCGGGUUGUAAAGCACUUUCAGCGAGGAAGAACGCCUGGCGGUUAAUACCCGCCAGGAAAGACAUCACUCGCAGAAGAAGCACCGGCUAACUCCGUGCCAGCAGCCGCGGUAAUACGGAGGGUGCAAGCGUUAAUCGGAAUUACUGGGCGUAAAGCGCGCGUAGGUGGCUUGAUAAGCCGGUUGUGAAAGCCCCGGGCUCAACCUGGGAACGGCAUCCGGAACUGUCAGGCUAGAGUGCAGGAGAGGAAGGUAGAAUUCCCGGUGUAGCGGUGAAAUGCGUAGAGAUCGGGAGGAAUACCAGUGGCGAAGGCGGCCUUCUGGACUGACACUGACACUGAGGUGCGAAAGCGUGGGUAGCAAACAGGAUUAGAAACCCCAGUAGUCC
This 469-nucleotide ribosomal RNA is filed under the name uncultured bacterium. Its description in RNAcentral is "bacterial SSU rRNA". It matches the Rfam family "Bacterial small subunit ribosomal RNA", at positions 335 to 796 of the family's 1533-position model. The record is from RNAcentral.